RNAcentral lists this ribosomal RNA (328 nucleotides) under uncultured bacterium. RNAcentral's name for it is "bacterial SSU rRNA". It matches the Rfam family "Bacterial small subunit ribosomal RNA", at positions 28 to 339 of the family's 1533-position model. The record is from RNAcentral.
GACGAACGCUGGCGGCGUGCUUAACACAUGCAAGUCGAACGCGAAAGUUCCCUUCGGGGAAUAAGUAGAGUGGCGCACGGGUGAGUAACACGUAGGUAAUCUACCUUCGGGUGGGGAAUAACCCAGGGAAACUUGGGCUAACACCGCAUGAUGCAGCGGCACCACAUGGUGACAGUUGUUAAAGCGGGGGUAUUUUCGACCUCGCGCCUGAAGAGGAGCCUGCGGCGGAUUAGCUAGUUGGUGAGGUAACGGCUCACCAAGGUCACGAUCCGUAGCCGGCCUGAGAGGGCGGUCGGCCACACUGACACUGACAUACGGGUCAGACUCC